GAUGAACGCUGGCGGCGUGCCUAAUACAUGCAGGUCGAGCGAACGGACGAGAAGCUUGCUUCUCUUAUGUUAGCGUCGGACGGGUGAGUAACACGUGGAUAACCUACCUAUAAGACUGGGAUAACUUCUGGAAACCGGAGCUAAUACCUGAUGAUAUUUUGAACCGCAUGGUUCAAAAUUUAAAGACGGUCUUGCUGUCACUUAUAGAUGGAUCCGCGCUGCAUUAGCUAGUUGGUAAGGUAACGGCUUACCAAGGCAACGAUGCAUAGCCGACCUGAGAGGGUGAUCGGCCACACUGGAACUGAGACACGGUCCAGACUCAUACGGGAGGCAGCAGUAGGGAAUCUUCAGCAAUGGGCGAAAGCCUGACGGAGAAACGCCGCGUGAGUGAUGAAGGUCUUCGGAUCGUAAAACUCUGUUAUUAGGGAAGAACAUAUGUGUAAGUAACUGUGCACAUCUUGACGGUACCUAAUCAGAAAGCAACGGCUAACUACGUG
RNAcentral lists this ribosomal RNA (497 nucleotides) under uncultured bacterium. Its description in RNAcentral is "partial 16S ribosomal RNA". It matches the Rfam family "Bacterial small subunit ribosomal RNA", at positions 28 to 507 of the family's 1533-position model. The record is from RNAcentral.